CUAUAUUUCAGGGGAAACAGUAACAAAUAUCCACCACUGGAAUGUUGGGCACACGAGUUUUCAAUACAAAACAUGGAGUGUUACCCUUCACUUCCUUUUUAUGAAACUCUCUCCAUCGAACCAAUUUCAACUAUUAAAGGUGAAAACUGAUGGAGCAAACUCUAAGGGAAGAAGAUGCAGCUAACUGGGUUUACAGGGGUGAAGGAGCUGUUAAUCUUGUUCUUGCUUACAAUGGAUCAAUUAAGUGUAUCGGAUAUGAUGAGACCAAUUAAGUGUAUCGGCUACGUCUUGAAUUAAGUGUAUCGGAUAUGAUGAGACCAAUUAAGUGUUUCCAUGUAUUACGAAUGGUUGCUUGAUUUCCUUAUCGGUGGUAAAGUAUACCUUUCAAGCUAUUAUUUUCAUUAUUUAAUAAGUGGUAUCUUUUUGGUUGUAAAACUCUCCUGAUCGGAGUACUUCUGUGCAGUAAGAUAUAUCAUUAUAUUAUUGCACAAAAGGAUGUUCACUUGUCAAGAUCAUCUCUAGGCUUAUUUUUGUUAAUUAGUUUAACUUGCUAUUAAAAUUCUUGUCCCAUUUUGUCAUGUAGAUUCUAAUUGAGGUUGAUCAUCUACAAGAUAUCCUUGGCCCAUAUAUAUUCAGAUCAAAGGUGUUAAUAAAGAUGCAGUGGCAGUAGUGGGUUCAAUGCUUGAAUUGGAUGGCUCAUAUACAACUAAGAUUUAUCUUGAAAUAAUUUUAAACAGACUACCAACAAUAGAAAGAACUUCUACUGGGAUUAACUCUUAGCAAUCAGCAAGGCUGCUAGAGAUUAUUGAAUUUAUUCAAUCUCA
Molecule: non-coding RNA, 824 nt
Organism: Arachis ipaensis
Lineage: Eukaryota; Viridiplantae; Streptophyta; Magnoliopsida; Fabales; Fabaceae
Source: RefSeq, a predicted model, not a curated record